This 134-nucleotide small nucleolar RNA is filed under the name Piliocolobus tephrosceles (Ugandan red Colobus). RNAcentral describes it as "Small nucleolar RNA SNORA70 (ENSPTEG00000034183.1)". It matches the Rfam family "Small nucleolar RNA SNORA70". Rfam says of the family: snoRNA U70 seems to be exclusive to mammals and is a member of the H/ACA class of snoRNA which contain H (ANANNA) and ACA box motifs. H/ACA box snoRNAs are involved in the conversion of uridines to pseudouridines (5-ribosyluracil) a constituent of structural RNAs (transfer, ribosomal, small nuclear, and small nucleolar). Lineage: Eukaryota; Metazoa; Chordata; Mammalia; Primates; Cercopithecidae. The record is from Rfam by way of RNAcentral.
CUGCAGCUAAUUAAGCCGACUGAGUUCCUUUCCUCAUGGGGGCCCAGUGUGCAAUGGCUGCAAACAGCAGCUUCCCUGGUAGUGAUGCAGCCUGUUUGUUGUAUGGGUUGCUCUAAGGGACCUUGGAGACAGUC